Molecule: ribosomal RNA, 253 nt
Filed under: uncultured bacterium
Lineage: Bacteria
Description: partial 16S ribosomal RNA
Rfam family: Bacterial small subunit ribosomal RNA
Source: RNAcentral
UACGUAGGCAGCGAGCGUUGUUCGGAGUUACUGGGCGUAAAGAGUGCGUAGGCGGUUUUCUAAGUUUGGUGUGAAAUCUCCCGGCUUAACUGGGAGGGUGCGCCGAAAACUGGAAGGCUUGAGUAUGGGAGAGGUAAGCGGAAUUCCUGGUGUAGCGGUGAAAUGCGUAGAUAUCAGGAGGAACACCUGCGGUGUAGACGGCUUACUGGACCAUAACUGACGCUGAGGCACGAAAGCGUGGGGAGCGAUCCGG